RNAcentral lists this long non-coding RNA (682 nucleotides) under Elaeis guineensis (African oil palm). RNAcentral's name for it is "long non-coding RNA (EGUI_LNC006535)". The record is from RNAcentral. Lineage: Eukaryota; Viridiplantae; Streptophyta; Magnoliopsida; Arecales; Arecaceae.
AUGGACUUCUGAUGCAUUGGUUUGGAAACUCUCACUCAGAAAAAGUGGUAAUUCUUUGUUUUUUUCUUGAUGUAAAGUGGGAGGAUGGGACCACCCUUUUAUUUGGUUAAGAAAAAGGAUGGUCCAAAGAGUAUCUGGAGUUCUGAAGAGAAAAGCCAGAAGACAGAUCUAGAAAUUAGAGAAGGGUUCUAACUAUUGCCAGUCCAAUUAAAUUUUUGUUUGAGCAUCGAGCGGGCGUUCUUUACAACAGUCUCAAUUGUAUUGAGCGUCCGACUUGAUGCUCCUAAUCUUUAUUAUAUUCGACUAACUGAUCUCCUAAAUAGUUACAGAUAUAAAUCUACUAAAUCCAAAAGCCCUCCCAGCGCCUGUACUAGUGAUGUAAGCUGCUGGUUGCCGUCGUUACACUCCCUCGCGUCGAGGAAGCUCGGUUCUACCCACUUCACUCCUGCCUUUGAUGCUCUGCAGAACCUUCCUUAUCUCUGUUUUUUGGUCCAACCAAUACCAACCAGCUCUCCAGAUUGUGUAGGGAUUUCUCGAGAACUAUUGACUUUGCGUUUGCUUUAUACUUAAAAGGGAGAAAGGGAUUCGAAAAAGAGGAGAAAAAUCUCAUGGACGGACGGAGAGGGAUGGACUGCUUCACCAAGAAAAAGAGAUACGGAUGGACAGCUUCACCAAAAAAAAG